UGGGGAAUCUUGCGCAAUGGGGGAAACCCUGACGCAGCGACGCCGCGUGCGGGAUGAAGGCCUUCGGGUUGUAAACCGCUUUCAGCAGGGACGAGGCCUUAUGGUGACGGUACCUGCAGAAGAAGCUCCGGCUAAAUACGUGCCAGCAGCCGCGGUAAUACGUAUGGAGCAAGCGUUAUCCGGAUUGAUUGGGCGUAAAGCGCUCGUAGGCGGUCUGUUAGGUCGGCAAGUUAAAUCCGGGGGCUCAACCCCCGUCCGCUUCCGAUACCGGCAGACUUGAGUUUGGUAGGGGAAGGUGGAAUUCCUAGUGUAGCGGUGGAAUGCGCAGAUAUUAGGAAGAACACCGGUGGCGAAGGCGGCCUUCUGGGCCAUAACUGACGCUGAGGAGCGAAAGCUAGGGGAGCGAACAGG
RNAcentral lists this ribosomal RNA (411 nucleotides) under Verrucomicrobiota bacterium. RNAcentral's name for it is "Verrucomicrobia bacterium partial 16S ribosomal RNA". It matches the Rfam family "Bacterial small subunit ribosomal RNA", at positions 355 to 776 of the family's 1533-position model. Lineage: Bacteria; Pseudomonadati; Verrucomicrobiota. The record is from RNAcentral.